This 67-nucleotide transfer RNA is filed under the name Parapenaeopsis hungerfordi. RNAcentral's name for it is "tRNA-Phe". It matches the Rfam family "tRNA". Rfam says of the family: Transfer RNA (tRNA) molecules are approximately 80 nucleotides in length. Their secondary structure includes four short double-helical elements and three loops (D, anti-codon, and T loops). Lineage: Eukaryota; Metazoa; Arthropoda; Malacostraca; Decapoda; Penaeidae. The record is from RNAcentral.
AUCUAUAUAGCUUAUAGGAAGAGUGUUGCGUUGAAGUUGCAAAGGAAGUAAUUGUUACUUAUAGAUA